GGAGGGUUGUCCGAGCGGCCGAUGGAGCUGGUCUUUGAAAACCAGUGGGCAGAGAUGUCUCGUGGGUUCGAAUCCCACACCCUCCG
RNAcentral lists this transfer RNA (86 nucleotides) under Methylobacterium radiotolerans. RNAcentral describes it as "tRNA-Gln". It matches the Rfam family "tRNA". From Rfam's summary of the family: Transfer RNA (tRNA) molecules are approximately 80 nucleotides in length. The record is from RNAcentral. Lineage: Bacteria; Pseudomonadati; Pseudomonadota; Alphaproteobacteria; Hyphomicrobiales; Methylobacteriaceae.